ACUCCCGUCUGCAACUUCACGACGGACAGGUGUACGACCUGAGAGACCGCAAAACAAUUGACCAAAACCGGCCGCGUCUUAAAAUAUACGACAUUGUCUCCAAAGAAUCUACAAAGAUGCUUGGAAUGCUCGACCGUUUCUAUCGUCUCUGCGAAUGGCGAUACGAUACGACUCCUCUUUUUUCCAUCGAUUAACAAAAAUACACCAUAAAUGUUUUCUUGAAAAGGAAUAUAUUCGACUCACGACGACAAGGUUGUACAUAGGUCUUGAAUACUCGAUCACAUGAAUUAUAAUCUGUAGAGGUGAUUAUAACAGGAUAUUAAUUCCAAUGUAUAUUUCAACAUAUGAAUAUUAUUUUCUUUUAUCGUUGAUCAUUAUCCCAGUGUAUCUGUUUUUUAAAUUAUGGUCAUGGCUAGGUUGGCACUUAUUUAUAAAUAAUUAAUAUUAUGUGCAUUGUGUCUUUGGUUAAUUUUGCCUCUUCACUUUCUUUUUGUAAUACCUAGAUUUUCUUUACAGAAAAGUAAAAUAUAAGAAUUCUUCUAUGUUUAUAUAAAAACAUAAUGUUUGUACAUAAUAUCAUUAUAAACUAUUUUCCAUAAAUUAAAUAUUAAAUUUUGUGUCAAGAAAAUUAAAAUUAAA
Bombus impatiens (common eastern bumble bee) is the source of this 639-nucleotide long non-coding RNA. RefSeq lists it as uncharacterized. The transcript has 3 exons. The record is from RefSeq and is a predicted model, not a curated record. NCBI's taxonomy places the organism in Eukaryota, Metazoa, Arthropoda, Insecta, Hymenoptera, Apidae.